AAGUCGUAACAAGGUCUCCGUUGGUGAACCAGCGGAGGGAUCAUUGCUGGAACGCGCUUCGGCGCACCCAGAAACCCUUUGUGAACUUAUACCUAUUUGUUGCCUCGGCGUAGGCCGGCCUCUUCACUGAGGCCCCCUGGAGACAGGGAGCAGCCCGCCGGCGGCCAACUAAACUCUUGUUUCUAUAGUGAAUCUCUGAGUAAAAAACAUAAAUGAAUCAAAACUUUCAACAACGGAUCUCUUGGUUCUG
Molecule: unclassified non-coding RNA, 250 nt
Filed under: Diaporthe sp.
Lineage: Eukaryota; Fungi; Ascomycota; Sordariomycetes; Diaporthales; Diaporthaceae
Description: partial internal transcribed spacer region
Rfam family: Eukaryotic small subunit ribosomal RNA (bases 1-46)
Source: RNAcentral